Molecule: long non-coding RNA, 244 nt
Filed under: Vigna radiata
Lineage: Eukaryota; Viridiplantae; Streptophyta; Magnoliopsida; Fabales; Fabaceae
Description: long non-coding RNA (VRAD_LNC015091)
Source: RNAcentral
UUUGAAGUUAUUCAUCGUGGUUGAAGUUCUCGGUUGUGGUAGGUGAAACCCUUGCUGUGGUGUGCCGUUGUCAAGUGGUCUGUCGUGGUGAGUACAUUUUUAUACUGAUAAUUCUUCUUUGACCGUGUAAUUUUCUGUUUCGCUUGUAUUGUUGUGUUCAAAAUAUUUAUGAUGUUAUGGACUUGUUUGAGUUUCCCGUCAUCUCUCCUCUCGAAUCUCGUCGUCUAUCCUCUGCAACGACGUC